AGUUUCUCAGGACUGCUAAAUU
This 22-nucleotide microRNA is filed under the name Ascaris suum (pig roundworm). Its description in RNAcentral is "asu-miR-5350a-5p". The record is from miRBase by way of RNAcentral. Lineage: Eukaryota; Metazoa; Nematoda; Chromadorea; Rhabditida; Ascarididae.